CAGGUGGCAGUGGGAUGCAGAGAGCUUCCAUGGAAGCAUCGUGUUGGUUUAAAAAGAGAAAAGAAAGCAGGUGGAGUGCUAAAAAUAAACCAAGAUUGGAACCUGAGACCACGUCUGUCUGGCUGCUCCUGCUACAACAAGGCUGGAGAGGCACCCACGGCAUUCCCGCAGGAGCUGAGGAAGGGGUGACAGGAUUCCUGCUUACACCAUACACAUGAGAUGCAUACAGCAAGAUGGCAGGGAUAUCGCCAAGCCAAGAUAAGCCAGCAGCAUCCUCUCAGCCGGAAAUGCAGCAGGGUCAUGAGCUGUGUCACAAGACAGGACACUCUGGGAGCCACGCAGGAAAAGAAUGGGGUGCAGGACAGCAGUGCUGGUUGGACACAGGGCAUACUGCUCAGCCUUACCUGAAAAGUGCUGCUGACCUCCCUCAGAUGUGUCUGGCUGUGUCUGGUGGGAGGAACAGAGCUGUCAACCCCAGGGCUGUUUGGAGUGGCUGA
This 497-nucleotide long non-coding RNA is filed under the name Phasianus colchicus (ring-necked pheasant). Its description in RNAcentral is "lncRNA (ENSPCLG00000022128.1)". The record is from RNAcentral. Lineage: Eukaryota; Metazoa; Chordata; Aves; Galliformes; Phasianidae.